UAAAUACAUGCAUUGUUUUGGUUUAUUCUUGUAUAACAUUAAUGUUUCCAUAUAUAUUGUUUGAAAUGUCAGUAUAAAUUGUUUAGUCAUUAAGGGUGGAUUGUUUAGAAAUUUUAUGAAUAAUGACUGAAACAAUAUUUACAUUUAAAUAUAACUAUAAUUAAUUAAACUCUACCCUGUUUUACAAUAUCUGAUUAAUAAUGUUAGUUCCUACGAAAGAGGUUAUGUAGCAUGGACAAGGGGUCAUUGGAAAUGAUAACCAUUGUGUAGGAAGGAAUGUGUGUGUGUGUGUCUAAUGUAAGCAAAGAGAAUUAUUCAAUUCCUUUGACAGUUUGAUAAUUGGACCUUUGUUUUUCCUAAUCUAUAUCAAUGACCUUGCUGCUGUGUCUUCUACAUACUUCCCAUUCUCUUUGCUGAUGAUAUCAAUUUGAUUUUAUCAGACAAGUAUUUUGAUUCUGAAGCCAACUCCGGUAUGGCCACAUUUUCUGAGUGGUUCCAGUAUUAAACAAAUUAUCUUUAAUUCUAAAAAAAAAAAAAUCUAAAUGUAUUUACUAGUAAGAAUAACAAAAAUGCUAAAAAAAAAAGCCAGAAUCUCAAUUGGUGGCAAUGAAAUGGAACAAGUCACAUCCACUAGAUUCCUCUCAAAGUGAGGAAAUCUGUUGGUAUCAUCAGAAAGAUUAGUGGUUUAUCAGGCUUGCUUCCUAACUCUAUACUAUAGCUUAAUUUACCCAUAUCUCAUAUUUGCUGUAAUAUUGUCUGGGCCUGUACAUAAGCCUCCUACCUACACAAAUUACUCAUCAUACAAAAUAUAUUUGCAAGACUUGCCACCUCCUCUAAUUACCUCUCUCCAUCUACACCUUUGUUUAAGAAACUCAAUAUAUUGUCUAUUUACGCCACUAAUGAACUCCAAUUAUGCACUUCCAUCUACAAAUUCCCAGACAGUUGCUGGACUGAGUCCCCGAGCUGACGAGGAAAAAAUCUGUUGUUCUGCCCCUGAGCAAUGCAGUUAACCCACUGUUCCCCGGGUGCCGAUGACGUGGAAGUC
Long non-coding RNA from Oncorhynchus tshawytscha (Chinook salmon), 1045 nucleotides. The record is from Ensembl. Lineage: Eukaryota; Metazoa; Chordata; Actinopteri; Salmoniformes; Salmonidae.